RNAcentral lists this long non-coding RNA (1880 nucleotides) under Olea europaea subsp. europaea. Lineage: Eukaryota; Viridiplantae; Streptophyta; Magnoliopsida; Lamiales; Oleaceae. The record is from RNAcentral.
GUCCAAUUUGACGUAAAUGAUAAUUAUAAGCCAGUUAAAAAAAUGUGAAACUCAGUUGAUGUCUCCCCAAUAGAAUUUUAAUUAUUUCAGCCUUCAAGAAUUCCCAUUGACAUAUAUAUCUCCUGCCAUGUCAAAUACAAAAAAUGCAUACAACUAUCGAAGUUAUAUAGCCACAUGGUGUCAGAAUCGUAACAAAGAGACCAGAUGGAUAAUAGAACUAUAAAAUCACAUUCAAAAAUAAUAAUUGAGCUAACAAUUUCUAAAAUCAAGAAUUAGCUGGAUGGAAAUCUUUGUCAUCAAAUGUAUGCUGAAAUAUGAUGUAAAACUUUAUGAACUGGUUUCUAAUAUAAUUCUUAGCGUGUGUGUACAAGUUAAAAGGGAACACCAGUGUUAUGUUGUCGUGUUGCCUUAUCAUCAUUUUCUCCUUCAUUGAUGUUAACAAGUGGCACGUAAGAAAAAUUAAAGAUAAUUUUCAACAAAAUUCGUCAUAUAUUACAUCAAAUAGUCAAAGGAUAACUUUAUUUCCUUUUUAAGUAUGAAACGAAAAUAAACACUAAACCUCAGGCCAAAAACCUGUUCCUCAAAUAUUUUUGAAAGCUACAAGAAUUUCUCUUUUUCAUCAUUUCUUUUCUCUUCAAGUUUCUGCUCGUCUACCAAUGCUAAAACCUCAUAAACACCUUCUGACUUUUCUUCAAUCUUUCUUGCCUCAUUCGGCAACAUAAUGUAAUUAGUGAUACUCAUCAAAGUACAAUUUCUUACCUGAAGAAGAACAAAGUGCAAUUUCUUACCUCAAGAACCAUGAAGAAGCAACAAUAAACAUAUCAGAAAUUGGGAAUUGUACGAAAAAUUCAUGCCAAAGAUACUUAAGUUACAGAAAUUUGAUCGCAGAGUUAUGAGAUUCUAAAACUAGUUCUCAUCUUCGUUUGUCACUCUGUGAUAGUAAAACCAUGCUCAAUCUUUCGCUUAAUAAUGGUUUUAUCGGCAAAAGAAGUAGCACCACAAAUGAACAAUGGAAACCCAGCGUUGGACGAAUCACAACGACAGUCAACAAUGUUAGAUAUUUUUCAUCAUUUUUCAUGUAUUUACUUUUUGUUUUGCGAAUGAUUUGCCGCCCCGACUAGUGUUUGCCGCUGCGCAACGGGGAUCGACCUGGACGAAUUCUCGUUUACAAAACACAUUAAAAAAUUAUUCUCCUCUCUUUCUCUUAGCAUCAUCAGUUCUUUUCGAGUGUCUUCUUGAUUUGAUCAAAUAGUCACAAUUUGAAUCAAACGCCUCCAUUGUAUCUUGAAAGAGAUCUUCUAUCAUAUCCCAGUUGUGACUUUGUUGGAUAGGGGAGAAACAUCUCUUAAAAGAUAACGUUUUUCGUGCCUUGGAAUUCAUUAAGUUUUCAAAUUUCCCUACAUUUUUCUCAACAGUUUUAAGAGAUGUCUUCGUUUCAAGAUCUGACAUUAAAUGAAUCUGUGGCACCCUCAAUUUAAGUCAUGAAUCAAGAUUUGAUUCGUCUUGAUCGAUUUGAUGGACAUAACUUCACGCGUUGGCAGGAAAAGGUUUUAUUCUUCUUGACAGCUAUCAAACUGUCCUACAUUCUGAGUAAUGGUCUGCGCAUAUUCCAGAAGAAAAAGCAGAUGAUUCAGAUGAACGCAAGAAGGAAUUACAGGAACAGCGGAAGAAACGGAAGGAUGAUGAUUUUCUGUGCAGAGGCCAUAUUCUGAAUGCACUAUCAGAUUCUGUUUACAGCGCACACAGGACUAUCGGAACAGCAAGAAAAUUGUGAUUGGCAUUGGACAACAAGUAUCGUAUUGAAGAGGCAAGCAACCAGAAAUUCUUGAUCGGUAAUUAUUUUGAUUUCAAGAUGACGAAAAAUAAGUCUAUUCUUGCCC